UACGUAGGGUGCGAGCGUUAAUCGGAAUUACUGGGCGUAAAGCGUGCGUAGACGGUUGUGUAAGUCGGAUGUGAAAGCCCCGGGCUCAACCUGGGAAUGGCAUUCGAGACUGCAUAGCUAGGAUGCGGAAGAGGGAAGUGGAAUUUCCGGUGUAGCGGUGAAAUGCGUAGAUAUCGGAAGGAACACCAGUGGCGAAAGCGACUUCCUGGUCCAGCAUCGACGUUCAGGCACGAAAGCGUGGGGAGCAAACAGG
Molecule: ribosomal RNA, 253 nt
Filed under: uncultured bacterium
Lineage: Bacteria
Description: partial 16S ribosomal RNA
Rfam family: Bacterial small subunit ribosomal RNA
Source: RNAcentral